This 251-nucleotide ribosomal RNA is filed under the name uncultured bacterium. Its description in RNAcentral is "partial 16S ribosomal RNA". It matches the Rfam family "Bacterial small subunit ribosomal RNA", at positions 524 to 776 of the family's 1533-position model. The record is from RNAcentral.
GACGAACCGUGCGAACGUUGUUCGGAAUCACUGGCAUAAGGGCGCGUAGGCGGCUCGCGAGGUCGGGGGUGAAAUCCCACAGCUUAACUGUGGAAGUGCCUUCGAUACCGGCGGGCUGGAGGAAGGUAGGGGUGCGCGGAACUUCUGGUGGAGCGGUAAAAUGCGUUGAUAUCAGAAGGAACGCCGGCGGCGAAAGCGGCGCACUGGACCUUUCUGACGUCUGAGGCGCGAAAGCCAGGGGAGCAAACGGG